This is a long non-coding RNA of Megalobrama amblycephala (Wuchang bream), 944 nucleotides long. RefSeq lists it as uncharacterized. The record is from RefSeq and is a predicted model, not a curated record. NCBI's taxonomy places the organism in Eukaryota, Metazoa, Chordata, Actinopteri, Cypriniformes, Xenocyprididae. The transcript is spliced from 5 exons.
AUCUGCAUCGCCACAGCCCUGCGCCUCAUACUGUUCCAGAGAAAUCGCUGAAGAGUAAUCAACAAACAUGAUCAAGACCAGAACGAUAGCUAUAAACACCCAUUCGUACUUUGUGAAGUAGCAAAAAAUAGAUUCUUUGAUGAAUAGAAAGUUCAAAAGAACACAAAUAGAAAACUUUUGUAACAUUACACACUGUUCAAAGGUUUGGGGUGUAUUUGAAGGCUGUUCUGAAGUAAACUGACCGUUCUCAUGGUGAGGGUACUCGGUUCCUGCAACAGUGCAGCAGCGGAACAGCAUGCGGUUCUCUGUGAGGGUUCCUGUCUUGUCGGAGAACAGCUUCACAAUCUCUAUCGACACAUAGAGGGAGAUGGGAAUCAGCACCUACAACACGGAAAAAAAGAAACGAGGGCAGCAAUGAGAGAUAUUCUAGGUGCAUACUUCAACACCUUUUAAGAAGAAAUGACAGAAUUGGGAAAUUAUGCAAGCCAGACUCAAACCUGCAGCAAACUAUCAUGAAAUUUGACAUACGCAAAUUUACUAAUGAUUUAGCGAAAACUUUACCAUUAGAUAAUGGAUGUGACAUGCAUGUGUUUGUGUAGAUGUCAGAUGCGUCCGCUCACUGUCACUCACCUGCAGAACAAUGAUCAUGGUCCAAAACAUGUAAAAGGCAGCGAGCGCAGGGUGCGUGUCAUCAGGAAUCAUGAAGAUAGUAUUCUGUAGUCCAUUCAACCAAACACCAUGACCUAUACAUCAAAACCACAUUUUUUAUUAAACACACAAAAAUAACACUAACCUUGUACUAGAGCUGCAAAAUUAAAGUGUGUUUGUCAUUGAAUCAUUCAUUUAAGAGAUUCAUUCAAAAAACGCUGAUUCAUCCAAGUACUGAAACAAGUCUUUAUAAGUGAGUCAAUGAAUCAUUCAUUCAAACCCAUUUAAAGGGGGCC